AGCGAACGCUGGCGGCAGGCUUAACACAUGCGAGUCGAACGCCCCGCAAGGGGAGUGGCAGACGGGUGAGUAACACGUGGGAACGUACCCUUUGGUUCGGAAUAACUGGGGGAAACUCAAGCUAAUACCGGAUAAGCCCUUAUGGGGAAAGGUUUACUGCCGAAGGAUCGGCCCGCGUCUGAUUAGCUCGUUGGUGGGGUAAUGGCUCACCAAGGCGACGAUCAGUAGCUGGUCUGAGAGGAUGAUCAGCCACACUGGGACUGAGACACGGCCCAGACUCCUACGGAAGGCAGCAGUGGGGAAUAUUGGACAAUGGGGGCAACCCUGAUCCAGCCAUGCCGCGUGAGUGAUGAAGGCCUUAGGGUUGUAAAGCUCUUUUACCCGGGACGAUAAUGACUGUACCGGGAGAAUAAGCCCCGGCUAACUUCGUGCCAGCCGCCGCGGUAA
Molecule: ribosomal RNA, 447 nt
Filed under: uncultured bacterium
Lineage: Bacteria
Description: partial 16S ribosomal RNA
Rfam family: Bacterial small subunit ribosomal RNA
Source: RNAcentral